GUGGCCAUGGUGAAGGCUGAACUGGGCGAGAGUGGCGGGGGUUUUGCCGCCGGCGCCGUUGCAUUCGAGUUUUCCGCCGCAGUCACCGGUUUCGCAGGUUAAAUGGUUGUGGUCACCGACGCAGCCGGUUCGAGCCCAGACGCGGCCGGACCAGUGCUGGUAGGGAGCAGGGAAGGAGCGGUGGGAGAGGGAAGGGAGGAAGAAGCCACCGCGUUCGGGGACGGGGUGGCCGGCGUUGGGCUGAAUGGCGGGCCAGAUCGGGUAAGGGCAGUUGUUGACGAGGGUCAGGAUGAGGCCGCUGCCCGGAUAUGUGGCUUCGGUGAGAGAGGAAAGAGAGGACAAAGUAAGAAGGAGAUAGAGAGAGGAAGAUAGGAAGGCGAUCGCCAUUGAUGGAGAAAUG
RNAcentral lists this unclassified non-coding RNA (400 nucleotides) under Hevea brasiliensis (rubber tree). Lineage: Eukaryota; Viridiplantae; Streptophyta; Magnoliopsida; Malpighiales; Euphorbiaceae. The record is from RNAcentral.